UACGUAGGGACCAAGCGUUGUUCGGAUUUACUGGGCGUAAAGGGCGCGUAGGCGGCGUGGUAAGUCACUUGUGAAAUCUCCGGGCUUAACUCGGAACGGUCAAGUGAUACUGUCGUGCUAGAGUACAGAAGGGGCAACUGGAAUUCUCGGUGUAGCGGUGAAAUGCGUAGAUAUCGAGAGGAACACCUGCGGCGAAGGCGGGUUGCUGGGCUGAUACUGACGCUGAGGCGCGAAAGCCAGGGGAGCGAACGGG
Molecule: ribosomal RNA, 253 nt
Filed under: uncultured bacterium
Lineage: Bacteria
Description: partial 16S ribosomal RNA
Rfam family: Bacterial small subunit ribosomal RNA
Source: RNAcentral